GGUGGCUCAGUGGUAGAGCACUUGCCUUGCAUGCAAGAGACCCUGGGUUUGAUUCCCCAGCACCA
Molecule: transfer RNA, 65 nt
Filed under: Dipodomys ordii (Ord's kangaroo rat)
Lineage: Eukaryota; Metazoa; Chordata; Mammalia; Rodentia; Heteromyidae
Rfam family: tRNA
About the family: Transfer RNA (tRNA) molecules are approximately 80 nucleotides in length. Their secondary structure includes four short double-helical elements and three loops (D, anti-codon, and T loops).
Source: Rfam by way of RNAcentral